RNAcentral lists this ribosomal RNA (301 nucleotides) under uncultured bacterium. RNAcentral describes it as "partial 16S ribosomal RNA". It matches the Rfam family "Bacterial small subunit ribosomal RNA", at positions 509 to 807 of the family's 1533-position model. The record is from RNAcentral.
CAGUCGCCGCGGGAAUACGUAGGGUGCAAGCGUUAAUCGGAAUUACUGGGCGUAAAGCGUGCGCAGGCGGUUAUAUAAGACAGAUGUGAAAUCCCCGGGCUCAACCUGGGAACUGCAUUUGUGACUGUAUAGCAAGAGUACGGCAGAGGGGGAUGGAAUUCCGCGUGUAGCAGUGAAAUGCGUAGAUAUGCGGAGGAACACCGAUGGCGAAGGCAAUCCCCUGGGCCUGUACUGACGCUCAUGCACGAAAGCGUGGGGAGCAAACAGGAUUAGAUACCCCAGUAGUCCCUGUCUCUUAUAC